This 273-nucleotide ribosomal RNA is filed under the name uncultured bacterium. RNAcentral's name for it is "partial 16S ribosomal RNA". It matches the Rfam family "Bacterial small subunit ribosomal RNA", at positions 524 to 796 of the family's 1533-position model. The record is from RNAcentral.
UACAGAGGUCCCGAGCGUUGUUCGGAUUCACUGGGCGUAAAGGGUGCGUAGGUGGCUUGGUAAGUUUGAUGUGAAAGCUCAGGGCUCAACCCUGAAAUGGCAUUGAAUACUACUGAGCUGGAGGUUUGGAGGGGGGACUGGAAUUCUCGGUGUAGCAGUGAAAUGCGUAGAUAUCGAGAGGAACACCAGUGGCGAAGGCGAGUCCCUGGACAACACCUGACACUGAGGCACGAAAGCUAGGGGAGCAAACAGGAUUAGAAACCCCUGUAGUCC